RNAcentral lists this ribosomal RNA (320 nucleotides) under uncultured Prevotella sp. RNAcentral describes it as "partial 16S ribosomal RNA". The record is from RNAcentral. Lineage: Bacteria; Pseudomonadati; Bacteroidota; Bacteroidia; Bacteroidales; Prevotellaceae.
GGAGUUUGGUCCGUGUCUCAGUACCAAUGUGGGGGACCUUCCUCUCAGAACCCCUACUGAUCGUCGGCUAGGUGGGCCGUUACCCCGCCUACAACCUAAUCAGACGCAUCCCCAUCCUAUAGCGGUAAACCUUUGCUUCUCGUCAGAUGCCAUCAAAGAAGAACAUAGAGCAUUAAUUCGACUUUCGCCGGGCUAUUCUCUACUAUAGGGAAGGUUGGAUACGCGUUACUCACCCGUGCGCCGGUCGCCGACAAGGAAAGCAAGCUUUCCUCUCGCUGCCCCUCGACUUGCAUGUGUUAAGCCUGUAGCUAGCGUUCAUC